UACGUAUGGAGCAAGCGUUAUCCGGAUUUACUGGGUGUAAAGGGAGCGCAGGCGGUCUGGCAAAUCUGAUGUGAAAGGCCGGGGCUCAACCCCGGGACUGCAUUGGAAACUGUCAGACUGGAGUGUCGGAGAGGUAAGCGGAAUUCCUAGUGUAGCGGUGAAAUGCGUAGAUAUUAGGAGGAACACCAGUGGCGAAGGCGGCUUACUGGACGAUGACUGACGCUGAGGCUCGAAAGCGUGGGGAGCAAACAGG
Molecule: ribosomal RNA, 253 nt
Filed under: uncultured bacterium
Lineage: Bacteria
Description: partial 16S ribosomal RNA
Rfam family: Bacterial small subunit ribosomal RNA
Source: RNAcentral